GCGCCACUAUAAAUACCCACACGUUCCCCUCUCUUUAUAAAUAAAAGGACAAAAGAGGAACAAAUUUCAGAGAAAUAAAGACCCGGCUAUGAGGAAUAGAACAACUAAGAGAUUAUCCACGGCGGAGCUCCUGGAAUUGCCGCCGUUGAACAUGGCGGCAGCGAGGAGCCCCACCUUGUCACCGCCAGAAUCUCCUGUGGAGCAAUUCGAGUUCAAACUCAAUGGAUUUACCACCUCAACCACCAAACUGACAUCAUCAAAGAAGAAAAGCUGCAAAAACAGCCGUGUAGGUGCAUCCGCCUUCAAGAUGAAGCAGCCUACUGGAAUCGCGGCACCAUCGCCGAAAAGCGUGAGCACAAUUUCUGAUCUGAAGGAUCAGGCUUCUAUUAAACUGGAAUCCAUCAAGUACCAGUUGGAUUCAUCACGCUCUGAGAUUGUGAAGGAUAUGGAAGCAUCACAGUUCCGUCUCCAGAAACGCCUUAAGCUUCAGAAACAAGCAUGUCAGCAAGUAAUGGAUGCAGCAGAAAAGGAAUAUAAGAAGAUGUCUGGACGAAUUAAUGAAGGUCAAGAUGCAAUACAGGCUUCAUAUGCGAAAUUCUUAGCAGCAGCACAGGCCAGUGCAUCUCACUACACAAGACAAAGAUGCAGUGUUGCAUAAGCCCUUUUGCGUAAAAUAAAAAUUGUUAAGAUGGCUACAUGAAUGUCAUUUUACUGAAAAGGUAAUGUAUGUACAGAAUGUCUACAGCAUGUAACAAUAUUUCGUUGAAUUUUGUUUGUUCAAAAUUACAGUACUGAAAACAUCUAUCCCAGAGCUUUCACAAUCUUUUGAGAAGCCUAUUGAUUCGCUCAAGAGUCACUAUGGGAUCUCGUCAACUUCAGCUUGACAGACGGAAUUUUCACCCUUUGGAAUAAUUUCUUGGGAAUUGCUGAACGGUUCUAGGUGGUCAUUUUUGGCAUUGAUAUAAUUCUUUCUGCUUGUAUAAAUCAGUCUCAUUUCACUGUUGAAUUGGUAAAUCAGUUGCUUUCUUAGGUUGGUUAGUGACCCUGGCACAUCCACAUGGAGUUCUUCAUAACUAUCAAUAAAUUUCUUUUA
Molecule: RNA transcript, 1093 nt
Organism: Olea europaea var. sylvestris
Lineage: Eukaryota; Viridiplantae; Streptophyta; Magnoliopsida; Lamiales; Oleaceae
Exons: 5
Source: RefSeq, a predicted model, not a curated record